GUUAAUAUAUAGCCGAUGACUUAACCAAAGUAAAUCAUGGUCAAAUAAAAUUAUAAUUAAACCAUCCUAACCGGACUCUAAACCGACUAUGUACAUUAAUACGCCGGCUCGUUUCCGUCUUGUUUCCACCGAGAAGGGUGAAGGAGCAUGCAAGAUCUCAGACCUGAGACACGGCGAAUCGUAUGCGGUUGACGGUGGUUAGAGUUUCGGAGUCAAAACUUAUUCUUGAAGAUGACGAUUGCGGCCGUGGGACAUCUCUGGGUGGCUCUUUUGAUGGUAUCUGGUGGUGAAUCUGGCGGGCCUUGAACAACCCCACCGUGAGAAGCUUACGGAAACUGGAUUUUUGAGUCGCGGUGUUCAUCCAGCUACCUUAGUCUUCUUCCCCAUAACCCUCUCUCCCUCUGCUUUAUAUGUGUAGUUGUUGUUCUCUUGCAACCUAGAUCUUAACGUUUCUCCUGUUCACCAGCUCUCGUUACUAUUUCGAUGCCUCCUUUUUGAGGAUUAGAUAAAUAGAUAAAUUAUAAUUAAAAAAAGAUAUCAACCAUGGUCGGCUAGGUCUAAGACGGCACCGAGUUUAUGUUGUAAGUAUUCAUGAAAAGUAUGAGAAAUCAUAAAAUUUACCUUAGCUUCGACGGUCAAUCAAGGAAGAACCUAUUCAACUAACGGCUUACGGUUGAGCAAAUCACAAGACAAGAUCAGCCAAAAGACAACUCAUCAAAGCUCUUUCUAUUCGUUUUGGU
This 740-nucleotide long non-coding RNA is filed under the name Brassica napus (rape). Its description in RNAcentral is "long non-coding RNA (BNAP_LNC020382)". The record is from RNAcentral. Lineage: Eukaryota; Viridiplantae; Streptophyta; Magnoliopsida; Brassicales; Brassicaceae.